Molecule: ribosomal RNA, 253 nt
Filed under: uncultured bacterium
Lineage: Bacteria
Description: partial 16S ribosomal RNA
Rfam family: Bacterial small subunit ribosomal RNA
Source: RNAcentral
UACAGAGGAUGCAAGCGUUAUCCGGAAUGAUUGGGCGUAAAGCGUCUGUAGGUGGCUUUUUAAGUCCGCCGUCAAAUCCCAGGGCUCAACUCUGGACAGGCGGUGGAAACUACCAAGCUGGAGUACGGUAGGGGCAGAGGGAAUUUCCGGUGGAGCGGUGAAAUGCGCAGAUAUCAGGAAGAACACCAAUGGCGAAAGCAGGUCUCUGGGCCAUUACUGACACUGAGAAGCGAAAGCAUGGGGAGCGAACAGG